CUAACAAGGAUUCCCCUAGUAACGGCGAGUGAAGCGGGAAGAGCUCAAAUUUGUAAUCUGGCGGCCUCUGGUCGUCCGAGUUGUAGUCUGGAGAAGCGUUUUCCGCGUCGGACCGUGUACAAGUCCCUUGGAACAGGGCGUCAUAGAGGGUGAGAAUCCCGUCUUUGACACGGACUGCCGACGCUCUGUGAUGCGCUCUCGAAGAGUCGAGUUGUUUGGGAAUGCAGCUCAAAACGGGUGGUAAAUUCCAUCUAAAGCUAAAUAUUGGCGAAAGACCGAUAGCGAACAAGUACCGUGAGGGAAAGAUGAAAAGCACUUUGGAAAGAGAGUUAAACAGUACGUGAAAUUGUUGAAAGGGAAACGCUUGAAGUCAGUCGCGUCUCCCGGGACUCAGCCUUGCUUUGCCAGGCGUAUUUCCCGGGGCGACGGGCCAGCAUCGAUUUUGACCGUCGGAGAAAGACUUUGGGAACGUGGCACCUUCGGGUGUGUUAUAGCCCUCGGUCGUAUGCGACGGUCGGGAUUGAGGACCGCAGCACGCCUUUUUGGCCGGGGUUCGCCCACGUAACGUGCUUAGGAUGCUGGCGUAAUGGCUUUAAGCGACCCGUCUUGA
RNAcentral lists this ribosomal RNA (610 nucleotides) under Ramaria gelatinosa var. oregonensis. Its description in RNAcentral is "eukaryotic LSU rRNA". It matches the Rfam family "Eukaryotic large subunit ribosomal RNA", at positions 65 to 657 of the family's 3401-position model. The record is from RNAcentral. Lineage: Eukaryota; Fungi; Basidiomycota; Agaricomycetes; Gomphales; Gomphaceae.